This 3313-nucleotide long non-coding RNA is filed under the name Paramuricea clavata. The record is from RNAcentral. Lineage: Eukaryota; Metazoa; Cnidaria; Anthozoa; Malacalcyonacea; Plexauridae.
AAAAGCAAGUUUUGUACUUUUGUUUGAAAAUAUUGUUGAGGAAAUAGGCGAGAAGAAAUAAAAGUCAAACAAAAAAAUCUAGAUCUGAAGUGAGUAGAUUUCUUUACUUUCAAACAUUUAAUUUAGUAGCAAUAGUAGGUUUGCUUUUGAAAUCCGUUAAUUAUACAAUCUUUGUUAUAAGACUCAUUCCAGUCACAAUCUGCAAGUGCAGAUAUAUGCUUCUGGAUACUUUUUCCAUCAAAGCACAGAGAAAUGGGGUUUUUCAUUUGAUUCUGCUGCGCUGUCAUUGUGGGUUAUUACUGUCUGACAAUUAGGUGAUUUUAUAUGUCAUCUUUAUGACAUAUCUCCAUUUUUGGCAUGGUUUUUACUGGGAAACAUGAUGUAAAAGAAAUAGUCUAGGCUAAGUAACAUAAGUAAGCCGUAAUACUUGACGAAAUCCGUCAGUGAAAAGCCCCAAUGGGCAGUGAGCCGAAUAAUAAUGGCAUAUACAUGCAUGUAAUGUAAAUGCAUUUUCAUCUGUCUUAUCUUAUAUUGAUUAUACUCUUUAACCCUUCAAGUAGCAAUGUGCCCUGAUGCACCCUAGUUUAACCUAUCUGACACCAAACCAUUUUACUCAUCAAGGAGAGUGUGCUGCCACUGAUUGUGUUAAUGUGGUUUUCAAAUUCUGUUUCUACUUGAUUUUUACUGCAUUAACAAUAACAAGGUCACUUUUGUAUUUACAUUAUAAAAGCAUACGUAUUUUACACACACACAUCCUAACUCUCAGGUGUUUAUCUUCACACUAGAAUAGCUGAAUUGUUGAAGAUCGUCCAAUUUUUUAUAUUUUUCAGGUAGUUUUUAGUAUACAAUUAAGCUUUUAAAGUACAUGAAAUCAUGUCUGAUCACUGUGGAAAGAGACUGAUAAGAGAUGAGAGAGCACACACUGGAAACAAAGCUUCUGAAUACCAUGUUUGUAAGAAGAGAUUUACAUGCUCAAGCAGCUUGUUUCUGCAUAAAAGAACACACAUUGGAGACAAACUUUAUGAAUGCGAUAUUUGUAAGAAAAGAUUUACACAGUCAGCAGGCUUGUUGCGACAUAAAAGAAUACACAGUGGAGACAAACCUUAUGAAUGUGAUGUUUGCAAGAAGAGAUUUACACAGUCAACAGGCUUGGUGCGACAUAAAAGAACGCACAGUGGAGACAAACCUUAUGAAUGCAAUAUUUGUAAGAAGAGAUUUACACAGUCAGCAGGCUUGGUGCGACAUAAAAGAACGCACAGUGGAGACACACCUUAUGAAUGCGAUAUUUGUAAGAAGAGAUUUACACGCUCAAGCAGCUUGGUUCUGCAUAAGAGAACACACAGUGGAGGCAACAUUUAUGAAUGUGAUGUCUGUAAGAAGAGAUUUACACAGUCAACAGGCUUGGUGCAACAUAAAAGAAUACACAGUGGAGACAAACCUUAUGAAUGUGAUGUUUGCAAGAAGAGAUUUACACAGUCAACAGGCUUGGUGCGACAUAAAAGAACGCACAGUGGAGACAAACCUUAUGAAUGCAAUAUUUGUAAGAAGAGAUUUACACAGUCAGCAGGCUUGGUGCGACAUAAAAGAACGCACAGUGGAGACACACCUUAUGAAUGCGAUAUUUGUAAGAAGAGAUUUACACGCUCAAGCAGCUUGGUUCUGCAUAAGAGAACACACAGUGGAGGCAACAUUUAUGAAUGUGAUGUCUGUAAGAAGAGAUUUACACAGUCAACAGGCUUGGUGCAACAUAAAAGAAUACACAGUGGAGACAAACCUUAUGAAUGCGACAUUUGUAAGAAGAGAUUUACACAGUCAACAGGCUUGGUGCAACAUAAAAGAACACACAGUGGAGACAAACCUUAUGAAUGCGACAUUUGUGAGAAGAGAUUUACACAGUCAACAGGCUUGGUGCAACAUAAAAGAAUACACAGUGGAGACAAACCUUAUGAAUGCGACAUUUGUAAGAAGAGAUUUACACAGUCAGCAGGCUUGUUGCAACAUAAAAGAACACACAGUGGAGACAAACCUUAUGAAUGCGAUAUUUGUAAGAAGAGAUUUACACAGUCAGCUGGUUUGGUGCAACAUAAAAGAACACACACUGGAGACAAACCUUAUGAAUGCGAUGUUUGUAAAAAGAGAUUUACACGCUCAAGCAGCUUAGUUCUGCAUAAAAGAACACACAGUGGAAACAAACCCUAUGAAUGUGCUGUUUGUAAGAAGAGAUUUGCGCAGUUAAGCACAUUAGUUAGACAUAAAAAAUUGCACACUGGCGAAAAACCUUAUGAAUGUGAUGUUUGUAAGGAAAGAUUUACACGCAAACUAUCUCUUGUUUGGCACGAAAAGCAACAUUUGUUGUGCAACUCUUGCACCAGCGAGAUUGUUCAACCUGAAGAUUUGAAAGAACAUUUUGUCGAGGAUAAACAGAAUGGAAAAUACGUGUGCAGUAAAUGUGACAAAUGUCUUUAUAAUUUUAUGAAAUUAUUACAACAUAUUGCAAAGCAGCAUGGUAGUGAUGGAAAAUAUCUAUGUGGUUUAUGUCAAGAACUGGAAUCAACAGAACCAACUGGUGUUGGAUAUGUUUGUUGUGUUUGUGAUGUUGUGUUUGAUGUUCCCAGAAAACUCGAAGAUCACAUCGCCACCCAUGACACAAUGCAACCUCUUGAAUAAGUUUCUACUAUUGCGCUUUCAGGAGUCUUGUGAAAUGUUUCUGUGUAGGAUCUGGGUUACUUUCCAGUCAAUAGUUUUAUAUUUUGGGAUAGCGUUAUAUAAAUUUAUCUAGCAAUGUGAUAAAUGUUUAAAUGUAUGAUUAUAUAGUAUUUAUGCAAUGUUAGUUGGGAUAUGUCAAGGGGAGUGGUUACAUUUUGAUCUGCCCAACAAAAAACGAUUUGCCUGACAUAAUUUAAAAACAAUCUAUUGCUACAAAAUUAGUAGCAAAAAUAAUGUUCGUAGCCACUUGAGGAUUUGAAAGUAAUUAUAGGUCGUUUGCACCAGAGUGUUUGAAAGUUACUUCGAGCAAAAUUUCAAAUAGGCGUGAACAUUGGAAUAUUACAUUAUCUUGAACGUUGAAAUUUUGUUUAGGAGCAUAAUUUUCUUGAAUUGUGAUUUUUUUUGACAUUGGUGAUUUUGAAGUUGGUUGUUAUUUUGGUGACUUUCCUGGGGUUUCAGAAGGAUAUUUCGAGCUAACAAAUGUAAAUGUUUACGAUGAUAUAUUAAGUAAUUAAAAUGAAAUAAGCUCACUACAAAAUUGACGAGAUAAUUAUAUAACAUUGGCCUGAGCAUGGAGAACAUAACACAAUAUUUUUUAAAAUAAUAC